Tupaia belangeri chinensis (Chinese tree shrew) is the source of this 444-nucleotide long non-coding RNA. RefSeq lists it as uncharacterized. NCBI's taxonomy places the organism in Eukaryota, Metazoa, Chordata, Mammalia, Scandentia, Tupaiidae. The transcript has 3 exons. The record is from RefSeq and is a predicted model, not a curated record.
ACUGCGAUUCUGCUAAGAGAACCCAUUUGAUGAAAUGGAUACAGCUGAAAACUCCAUCUGACUGAAAAAGAAUUUGAGCUUCAUCACUGACGACUUGAUGGCAUGCCAGACCCCUGCCAGCCAGUGUCACUUUGUAGGGACUAGUCUCCCAGUUUUCCCCAUAAGGUGAUUGAGCUUGCCGGAGAGAUACAAAGAAAGGGCUGCAGCUGCCCCAAGGCCUUUGUACCAACAUUUUCCUGUUGACCUCCAGCUAUUCAUUGAGGCCUUCAGUCAAGUGUCACCUGAGGGUGGGCACCCAGGUGAACUACCGCCACCGCCGCCUUCCACCGCGGUCUUCGGUGGCACACAGCACUGCGUUGUUACUGCCCCUGCCAUCUGCCCUCACACAGUAGCAUGAAGCCCGCUGGGAGCAGGGACUUGUUCACCGCCGGGUGCCAGCGCAGG